This 253-nucleotide ribosomal RNA is filed under the name uncultured bacterium. RNAcentral describes it as "partial 16S ribosomal RNA". It matches the Rfam family "Bacterial small subunit ribosomal RNA", at positions 524 to 776 of the family's 1533-position model. The record is from RNAcentral.
UACGGGGGGGGCAAGCGUUGUCCGGAAUUACUGGGCGUAAAGGGCUCGUAGGCGGCCAACUAAGUCGGAUGUGAAAUCCCCAGGCUCAACCUGGGAACGGCAUCCGAUACUGGAUGGCUUGAAUCCGGGAGAGGGAUGCAGAAUUCCAGGUGUAGCGGUGAAAUGCGUAGAUAUCUGGAGGAAUACCGGUGGCGAAGGCGGCAUCCUGGACCGGCAUUGACGCUGAGGAGCGAAAGCCAGGGGAGCAAACGGG